Molecule: ribosomal RNA, 484 nt
Filed under: uncultured bacterium
Lineage: Bacteria
Description: bacterial SSU rRNA
Rfam family: Bacterial small subunit ribosomal RNA
Source: RNAcentral
GAGAGUUUGAUCCUGGCUCAGGACGAACGCUGGCGGCGUGCCUAAUACAUGCAAGUCGAACGCUUCUUUCCUCCCGAGUGCUUGCACUCAAUUGGAAAGAGGAGUGGCGGACGGGUGAGUAACACGUGGGUAACCUACCCAUCAGAGGGGGAUAACACUUGGAAACAGGUGCUAAUACCGCAUAACAGUUUAUGCCGCAUGGCAUAAGAGUGAAAGGCGCUUUCGGGUGUCGCUGAUGGAUGGACCCGCGGUGCAUUAGCUAGUUGGUGAGGUAACGGCUCACCAAGGCCACGAUGCAUAGCCGACCUGAGAGGGUGAUCGGCCACACUGGGACUGAGACACGGCCCAGACUCCUACGGGAGGCAGCAGUAGGGAAUCUUCGGCAAUGGACGAAAGUCUGACCGAGCAACGCCGCGUGAGUGAAGAAGGUUUUCGGAUCGUAAAACUCUGUUGUUAGAGAAGAACAAGGACGUUAGUAACUGAA